RNAcentral lists this ribosomal RNA (165 nucleotides) under Ononis spinosa subsp. masquillierii. RNAcentral describes it as "5.8S ribosomal RNA". It matches the Rfam family "5.8S ribosomal RNA". Rfam says of the family: 5.8S ribosomal RNA (5.8S rRNA) is a component of the large subunit of the eukaryotic ribosome. It is transcribed by RNA polymerase I as part of the 45S precursor that also contains 18S and 28S rRNA. Functionally, it is thought that 5.8S rRNA may be involved in ribosome translocation. Lineage: Eukaryota; Viridiplantae; Streptophyta; Magnoliopsida; Fabales; Fabaceae. The record is from RNAcentral.
UAUAAUGACUCUCGGCAACGGAUAUCUAGGCUCUUGCAUCGAUGAAGAACGUAGCGAAAUGUGAUACUUGGUGUGAAUUGCAGAAUCCCGUGAACCAUCGAGUCUUUGAACGCAAGUUGCGCCCGAUGCCAUUAGGUUGAGGGCACGUCUGCCUGGGUGUCACAU